GACGAACGCUGGCGGCGUGCUUAACACAUGCAAGUCGAACGGAAAGGCCCUGCUUUUGUGGGGUGCUCGAGUGGCGAACGGGUGAGUAACACGUGAGUAACCUGCCCUUGACUUUGGGAUAACUUCAGGAAACUGGGGCUAAUACCGGAUAGGAGCUCCUGCUGCAUGGUGGGGGUUGGAAAGUUUCGGCGGUUGGGGAUGGACUCGCGGCUUAUCAGCUUGUUGGUGGGGUAGUGGCUUACCAAGGCUUUGACGGGUAGCCGGCCUGAGAGGGUGACCGGCCACAUUGGUACUACGGUACGGCGCAGACUGCAACGGGAGGCAGCAGUGGGGAAUAUUGCACAAUGGGCGGAAGCCUGAUGCAGCAACGCCGCGUGCGGGAUGACGGCCUUCGGGUUGUAAACCGCUUUCGCCUGUGACGAAGCGUGAGUGACGGUAAUGGGUGAAGAAGCACCGGCUAACUACGUG
This 468-nucleotide ribosomal RNA is filed under the name uncultured bacterium. RNAcentral describes it as "partial 16S ribosomal RNA". It matches the Rfam family "Bacterial small subunit ribosomal RNA", at positions 28 to 507 of the family's 1533-position model. The record is from RNAcentral.